This 60-nucleotide microRNA precursor is filed under the name Blattella germanica (German cockroach). RNAcentral's name for it is "Bge-Mir-31_pre stem-loop". Lineage: Eukaryota; Metazoa; Arthropoda; Insecta; Blattodea; Blattellidae. The record is from RNAcentral.
AGGCAAGAUGUCGGCAUAGCUGAUUAUACUUGAAAUUCAGCUGUGUCACAUCAAGCCAAC